CCUUGCCUCAGCCUCACUGUUGAUUCGCAGCUCUCGCGAGAGCGUAACCCGGAAGUCACUCCGCUGGAAGGAGGUCAGGGUACCCACGUGGGCUGGACUGGGGUAGCUCGCACCCAGGAGCCACGCCGGGCUGAGGCGCCAUGGGGAAGCUGCGCCGGCGGUACAACAUCAAGGGGCGCCUGCAGGCUGGCCCCGGCCCGGCCCAUCUGCCCGGUGCCGGGCUGCUGGCCACCGUGUCCGACCCUCAUUAGUGGAGCGCCUGACUCGGAAGUCAGUGCCCUCAGAGUUGCACUGAGGCGUGGCGCUUUGCCCUUGUGCCUCAGGGUUCCCAUCUGUAAAAUGGGACCCGUGGCGGGAGCCGCCCCACCUGCUGUCAGCUUGGGGAGUGGUAGUGUAGGAAACUAUUUUGUGAAUGAAACGAGAAUCCCUUGAAAUUGCAUUGCAGAAGAAAGACUAUAGAGCGGAUGUGGCUUGGGACGGGCGUCAGCCCUGGUAAUAGCGGCUGCAGCUCAGGACAAUGGCUCUAAGAGGAUAAACUGGGCCAUCUGAACAGAGGGGCUGAGGGCUCUUAGACCCACAAAAUUGGGGAAGGUCAUCCAUCACAUCGCGUGUCCCCAGAACACCCAU
Molecule: long non-coding RNA, 627 nt
Filed under: Fukomys damarensis (Damara mole-rat)
Lineage: Eukaryota; Metazoa; Chordata; Mammalia; Rodentia; Bathyergidae
Description: lncRNA (ENSFDAG00000031133.1)
Source: RNAcentral